This 376-nucleotide ribosomal RNA is filed under the name uncultured bacterium. Its description in RNAcentral is "bacterial SSU rRNA". It matches the Rfam family "Bacterial small subunit ribosomal RNA", at positions 523 to 898 of the family's 1533-position model. The record is from RNAcentral.
AUACGUAGGGGGCGAGCGUUGUCCGGAAUUACUGGGCGUAAAGGGUGCGUAGGCGGAUUUGCAAGUCUGAUGUGAAAGCCCUUGGCUUAACCAGGGGCAUUCAUUGGAAACUGGGAGUCUGAGAGUGCAGGAGAGGGAAGCGGAAUUCCCGGAGUAGCGGUGGAAUGCGUAGAUAUCGGGAGGAACACCAGUGGCGAAGGCGGCUUCCUGGACUGUAACUGACGCUGAGGCACGAAAGCUGGGGGAGCGAACAGGAUUAGAUACCCUGGUAGUCCCAGCCGUAAACGAUGGAUACUAGGUGUUGGCGGUUCAGACCGUCGGUGCCGGAGCCAACGUGAUAAGUAUCCCGCCUGGGGAGUACGGUCGCAAGACUGAA